RNAcentral lists this ribosomal RNA (253 nucleotides) under uncultured bacterium. Its description in RNAcentral is "partial 16S ribosomal RNA". It matches the Rfam family "Bacterial small subunit ribosomal RNA", at positions 524 to 776 of the family's 1533-position model. The record is from RNAcentral.
UACGGAGGGGGCUAACGUUGUUCGGAAUUACUGGGCGUAAAGAGUACGUAGGCUGCCUAAUAAGUUAAGUGUGAAAGCCCUGAGCUCAACUCAGGAACUGCAUUUAAAACUGUUAGGCUAGAGGACAAAAGAGGGUAAUGGAAUUCCUAGUGUAGAGGUGAAAUUCGUAGAUAUUAGGAGGAACACCAGAGGCGAAGGCGAUUACCUGGGUUGUUACUGACGUUGAGGUACGAAAGCAUGGGGAGCAAACAGG